RNAcentral lists this long non-coding RNA (389 nucleotides) under Rattus norvegicus (Norway rat). RNAcentral describes it as "long non-coding RNA NONRATT014130". Lineage: Eukaryota; Metazoa; Chordata; Mammalia; Rodentia; Muridae. The record is from RNAcentral.
GACACAGUCAACCCCAUGCUUGUCAGAAUCACUGACUGGGUUUAUUUCUUCUCUGUCUCUUGUUCCUGUGUCUCCGCCCUCCCCAUCCCUUCUAUCGCCCCCUCUCCUUCCAACACUUCACAGGGUCCUCAAGCACUCAGUGGAUGCCACUUUUGAGAACCAGGGCCCCAGCCCCGGGUACCGCAUGGAAAUGUCCAUCUUCUACGUGGUCUACUUUGUGGUGUUUCCCUUCUUCUUUGUCAAUAUCUUUGUGGCCUUGAUCAUCAUCACCUUCCAGGAGCAGGGAGACAAGAUGAUGGAAGAAUACAGCCUAGAGAAAAAUGAGGUACCGCUGCCUAGCUGUGUCCCUGCUAAGAGUACACGCAGCCCACUUUCAUAUUCAUCCCCCC